RNAcentral lists this ribosomal RNA (454 nucleotides) under uncultured Anoxybacillus sp. RNAcentral describes it as "bacterial SSU rRNA". It matches the Rfam family "Bacterial small subunit ribosomal RNA", at positions 929 to 1382 of the family's 1533-position model. Lineage: Bacteria; Bacillati; Bacillota; Bacilli; Caryophanales; Anoxybacillaceae. The record is from RNAcentral.
GCGGUGGAGCAUGUGGUUAAUUCGAAGCAACGCGAAGAACCUUACCAGGUCUUGACAUCCCUGACAACCCGAGAGAUCGGGCGUUCCCCUUCGGGGGACAGGGUGACAGGUGGUGGCAUGGUUGUCGUCAGCUCGUGUCGUGAGAUGUUGGGUUAAGUCCCGCAACGAGCGCAACCCUCGACCUUAGUUGCCAGCAUUCAGUUGGGCACUCUAAGGUGACUGCCGGCUAAAAGUCGGAGGAAGGUGGGGAUGACGUCAAAUCAUCAUGCCCCUUAUGACCUGGGCUACACACAUGCUACAAUGGGCGGUACAAAGGGUCGCGAACCCGCGAGGGGGAGCCAAUCCCAAAAAGCCGCUCUCAGUUCGGAUUGCAGGCUGCAACUCGCCUGCAUGAAGCCGGAGUUGCUAGUAACCGCAGGUCAGCAAUACUGCGGUGAAUACGUUCCCGGGUCUU